This 413-nucleotide ribosomal RNA is filed under the name Actinospica acidiphila. RNAcentral's name for it is "bacterial SSU rRNA". It matches the Rfam family "Bacterial small subunit ribosomal RNA", at positions 1 to 415 of the family's 1533-position model. Lineage: Bacteria; Bacillati; Actinomycetota; Actinomycetes; Catenulisporales; Actinospicaceae. The record is from RNAcentral.
CAUUCACGGAGAGUUUGAUCCUGGCUCAGGACGAACGCUGGCGGCGUGCUUAACACAUGCAAGUCGAACGAUGAACCACUUCGGUGGGGAUUAGUGGCGAACGGGUGAGUAACACGUGGGCAAUCUGCCCUGCACUCUGGGACAAGCCCUGGAAACGGGGUCUAAUACCGGAUACUGACCCGCUUGGGCAUCCAAGCGGUUCGAAAGCUCCGGCGGUGCAGGAUGAGCCCGCGGCCUAUCAGCUUGUUGGUGAGGUAAUGGCUCACCAAGGCGACGACGGGUAGCCGGCCUGAGAGGGCGACCGGCCACACUGGGACUGAGACACGGCCCAGACUCCUACGGGAGGCAGCAGUGGGGAAUAUUGCACAAUGGGCGAAAGCCUGAUGCAGCGACGCCGCGUGAGGGAUGACGGC